CCCAAGUCAGUGCUCUCUUGGAUAAGUGG
RNAcentral lists this small RNA (29 nucleotides) under Bombyx mori (domestic silkworm). Its description in RNAcentral is "ovarian small RNA-13616". The record is from RNAcentral. Lineage: Eukaryota; Metazoa; Arthropoda; Insecta; Lepidoptera; Bombycidae.